RNAcentral lists this signal recognition particle RNA (339 nucleotides) under Thermoprotei archaeon. RNAcentral describes it as "signal recognition particle sRNA". It matches the Rfam family "Archaeal signal recognition particle RNA". The record is from RNAcentral. Lineage: Archaea; Thermoproteati; Thermoproteota; Thermoprotei.
GGACGGCCGCGGUGAGGGGGCUACCCCUCCCCUCUCACGGGCGUGAGGCCCGUGAGCCGCAAACGGGGGUUACGGCGGCACCGCAAUCAUCCCCAGGGAGGCGGUCGCCCCUGUCAGGGGAGGUCAGUGGCCGACGAUGAUAUCCCGUCCCGUGGGGUCGCCGUAGGCCGAUAGGCCUCUCGGAAGAGGGGCCGAAUCGGCUGUACUGGCCGAAACGGGUUAGGCCCGGAAGGGAGCGGCCCUAAGGCCAGGCGGCGGCGUUCACGGGGGAGCGGGGUUGAGAAGGAGCUGACUCAUCCCCUGGCAUGGGUGGCCGUCGAACUGGGGAGAGUGCCGUCC